This 301-nucleotide ribosomal RNA is filed under the name uncultured bacterium. RNAcentral's name for it is "partial 16S ribosomal RNA". It matches the Rfam family "Bacterial small subunit ribosomal RNA", at positions 509 to 807 of the family's 1533-position model. The record is from RNAcentral.
CAGUAGCCACGGUAAUACAGACGGUGCGAGCGUUAAUCGGAUUUACUGGGCGUAAAGCGUGCGUAGGCGGCUUUUUAAGUCGGAUGUGAAAUCCCUGAGCUUAACUUAGGAAUUGCAUUCGAUACUGGGUAGCUAGAGUAUGGGAGAGGAUGGUAGAAUUCCAGGUGUAGCGGUGAAAUGCGUAGAGAUCUGGAGGAAUACCGAUGGCGAAGGCAGCCAUCUGGCCUAAUACUGACGCUGAGGUACGAAAGCAUGGGGAGCAAACAGGAUUAGAUACCCCAGUAGUCCCUGUCUCUUAUAC